RNAcentral lists this ribosomal RNA (413 nucleotides) under uncultured bacterium. Its description in RNAcentral is "bacterial SSU rRNA". It matches the Rfam family "Bacterial small subunit ribosomal RNA", at positions 505 to 916 of the family's 1533-position model. The record is from RNAcentral.
GUGCCAGCAGCCGCGGUAAUACGUAGGUGGCAAGCGUUGUCCGGAUUUAUUGGGCGUAAAGGAUGUGUAGGCGGAUAUUUAAGUGAGAUGUGAAAUCCCCGGGCUCAACUUGGGGGCUGCAUUUCAAACUGGAUGUCUGGAGUGCAGGAGAGGAAAGCAGAAUUCCUAGUGUAGCGGUGAAAUGCGGAGAGAUGUGGAAGCAUACCAGUGGCGAAGGCGGCUUUCUGGACUGUAACUGACGCUGAGGCAUGAAAGCGUGGGGAGAAAACAGGAUUAGAUACCCGGGUAGUCCACGCCGUAAACGAUGAGUACUAGGUGUAGGAGGUAUCGACUCCUUCUGUGCCGCAGUUAACACAAUAAGUAUUCCGCCUGGGAAGUACGGUCGCAAGAUUAAAACUCAAAGGAAUUGACGG